Molecule: unclassified non-coding RNA, 376 nt
Filed under: soil metagenome
Description: partial contains 5.8S ribosomal RNA, internal transcribed spacer 2, and large subunit ribosomal RNA
Rfam family: 5.8S ribosomal RNA (bases 1-120)
Source: RNAcentral
GAUGAAGAACGCAGCGAAAUGCGAUAAGUAAUGUGAAUUGCAGAAUUCAGUGAAUCAUCGAAUCUUUGAACGCGUCUUGCGCUCCUUGGUAUUCUGAGGAGCAUGCCUGUUUGAGUGUCAUUAAAUUCUCAACUACACUGACUUUGAAUUGGUGUGGCUUGGAUUUGGGGGGAAAAUUGUUGUGGGCUUUUUGUAUAGUCUGCUCCCCUGAAAUUGAUUAGCGGUACCUUUGUGGAACUGUCUACAGGUGUGAUAAUUAUCUACAUCUUAGACAUCUGCUGGAAUGCUGCUUUCUAAACCUUACUUGUAUUGACAAUCUUGACCUCAAAUCAGGUAGGACUACCCGCUGAACUUAAGCAUAUCAAUAAGCGGAGGA